Molecule: RNA transcript, 3697 nt
Organism: Manis pentadactyla (Chinese pangolin)
Lineage: Eukaryota; Metazoa; Chordata; Mammalia; Pholidota; Manidae
Gene: NDC1
Gene name: NDC1 transmembrane nucleoporin
Exons: 18
Source: RefSeq, a predicted model, not a curated record
CCUCUGUUUCUGGCACCCCGUCGUACCCUUCUUCGGAAAGAUCUUUCGGACUCCAGAGGGCGGAUCCUGGUGUCCCAGCUCUCUUUGGGGGACGUGUCCGUGGGGCAGUUCUGGCCGGUUAGGCCUGUCCUGGAGAAAUCUAAAAGGAACGGGUUGGGGCUUGGGACGCGCUUUGCUCAGGCAGCGUUUGGGGCAGCCCCAAUAGAGUCCUCCUGGGGCCUUCCUCUCUUUGAACUGCGGUGGCGGGCCGCCUCAGUGUCUCCUGCACCCCUCAGAGUAGGGGCCGCCAUCACCAUGGCCCCGGCUGCCAGUCGGCCCUGCGACGGCGGGUCGCGGGACAUUCUGUGGCGCGUUUUGGGCUGGAGGAUAGUUGCAAGUAUUGUGUGGUCAGUGCUGCUGCUGCCGGUCUGUACCACAGUAUUUAUAAUCUUCAGCAGCAUUGAUUUACUUCAUCCUAUACAGUGGCUGGCUGAUUCUUUCAAUGAUCUCUAUAGUUCAUAUGUAAUCUUUUACCUCCUGCUGCUGUCUGUAGUAAUAGUAAUAAUAAGUAUUUUCAAUGUGGAGUUCUAUACAGUUGUGCCUUCCAUUCCCUGCUCCAGACUGGCCCUGAUAGGGAAGGUCAUUCAUCCUCAGCAGCUCAUGCACUCAUUUAUGCAUGCUGCGAUGGGAAUGAUGACGGCUUGGUGUGCAGCAGUGAUAACCAAGAGUCGAUACAGUUUCCUUGUGGUUUCCUGCACUAGUACUGAGAGUGUAGACAGCCCUGCUGCACCCACCUGCAUAAAUGAGCAUCACCUUUUUUUCCUAUUGGCUGGAGCAUUCAUGGGCUAUAGCUAUAGCCUCCUGUAUUUUAUUAACAAUAUGAACUAUCUUCCCUUUCCCAUCAUACAGCAAUACAAGUUCUUGCGCUUCAGGAGAUCUCUGCUUUUACUAGUUAAGCAUAGUUGUGUAGAAUCGCUGUUCCUAACUAGAAAUUUCUGCAUUGUGUAUUAUUUCCUAGGCCAUAUUCCCAAAACUUGGAUUAGCACUGCAAUGGACCUUCAGAUAGAUGAGCAGUUUCACAGGCCUCUUGACACUGUGAGUGGCCUCUUGAAUCUCUCAUUACUUUACCAUGUCUGGCUAUGUGGUGUCUUUCUCCUGAUGACUUGGUAUACCUCAUGGGUUCUCUUCAAAAUCAGUGUCACAGAGGCUCAUCUGUUCCCUGUUCAACCACCAUUUUCAGGAGAGUCUGAUGAAUGCCUCCCGAAAGUUUUAAACAGCAAUCCUCCCCUCAUCAUAAAGUAUUUGGCCUUGCAGGACCUGAUGUUGCUUUCUCAGUAUUCUCCUUCACGAAGACAAGAAGUUUUUAGCCUUAGCCAACCAGGUGGACAUCCCCACAAUUGGACAGCCAUUUCAAGGGAAUGUUUGAAUCUUUUAAAUGAUAUGACUCAGAAACUGGUUCUCUACCAAGAAGCUGCUGCUACUAAUGGGAGAGUGAUGUCUUCCUCAUACCCAAUGGAACCUAAGAAAUCAAAUUCUCCAGAAGAAACUACUUUUCAGACCCCCAUAUCUAGCCAGAUGCCUCACCCAUCAAUGCCACCAUUAGUUAAGACAUCACUGUUUUCCUCAAAAUUAUCUACACCUGAUGUUGCAAGUCCUCUUGGAACCCCAUUUGGCUCUAGUGCAGUAAAUCGGAUGGCUGGAAUUUUUGAUGUAAACACUUGUUAUGGGUCACCCCAAAGUCCUCAGCUAAUAAGAAGAGGACCAAGAUUAUGGACUUCUGCUUCUGAUCAGCAAAUGACUGAAUUUUCUAAUCCUUCUCCAUCUACCUCUGUUAACGCUAAGGGUAAGACAGUGAGACAGCCCAGUGUGAUUUAUUCAUGGAUUGAGAAUAAACGUGACCAGAUAAAGAAUUUUUUAUCAAAACGGGUGCUGAUAAUGUAUUUUUUCAGUAAGCACCCAGAGACCUCCAUUCAGGCUGUCUUUUCAGAUGCUCAAAUGCAUAUUUGGGCAUUAGAAGGUCUGUCUCACUUAGUAGCAGCUUCAUUUACAGAAGAUAGAUUUGGAGUUGUCCAGACUACACUACCAGCUAUUCUUGAUACUUUGUUGACACUGCAAGAGGUAGGCAGUAGGCAGUUGACAAGUACUUCAAGCUUCCUCAUGCUUCCAGUAAACCACCUCGGAUUUCAGGAAGCCUUGUGGACACUUCUUAUAAAACAUUAAGAUUUGCAUUUAGAGCAUCUCUAAAAACUGCCAUCUAUCGAAUAACUACUACAUUUGGUGAACAUCUGAAUGCUGUGCAAGCAUCUGCAGAACAUCAGAAAAGACUUCAACAGUUCUUGGAGUUCAAAGAAUAGUUAAGUAAUAUAAACUGUGUUCAUUACACUGCUGAUACAACUACAGAUGGGACAGUAAAUGUUUAGCAUUCUUGGAUCAGAAGAAAAUGGACUAAUUAGAUGCUUCCUUUGUCGUGGUGGUUGCUUUGAAAACUAUACUUUAAUGGGAGAAAUCAUGGAAAGAAAUUCUGAACAGAAUAACUGAAAACUGCCUUUUUUGUACUGAUUGCUUUUUGUAUGUGUGGUAUAAUAAAAUCUUUAUUCGAUUUUACAAAAGCAUCUUUGGCAGUAGAAAUGUCUCUAGUUUAUAUAACUUAAUAAUAAUAAUAGAAAAUGUUCAGAAUUUACUUUGGAGAGGAAUAGAGCCAGUUCAGAAGGUAAAAUAGGUAGACUUGAUCCAGUCUUCCGAAUUGUUCUGAGAGUUUAGUUCAGUGUAAAUUUGAAAUAUGUAAACUUUAGUUUCUGUUUACUGAAAGAUAAAAAUGGUAACAGUGGAGGAAAAUUCACAGAAAAAUUAUUGUCUAAAGGACAUAUUUUGUUAAUCUUUUAGGUUAUGGUUUUAUUCCAGGAACAAAUUAAAUUUGAUUGUCCAAAAAAAGUCUCAAUUUACAGAUGCUAACUGUAUAUAAAGGAAUGUGGAAAAAUUCAGUUCUUAUGUUAUAAGGUUAAACACUCACAUUUGGUUUUUGAAAGACAAUUGAGUGACAUCUAUGAAUUUGUUUUGUAUCAUGCUAGUGAACAGUAAGUAUAUGGAUAUUUUCCCAACUAGUUUUGCUUUCUUUUCCUGGAACAAAACAUUAAGUGAUUGCAGAGUUUUUCAAAUGAGAGAAAAAAUUUUACAAGAAAAACAGGAAAAUUUCCUUUUUUCCUCCACCUUUCAUCCUCAUUAGAUCAAAUUAUUUUGUGUAGUUUGUUUGGCCUCACAGAGGGAGCAGCCUUUGCUGUGUUAACUGGCUAAUAAAAAUAUAUUAGGAAAAUCUUUGCAGCCAGAAACAACUUAGUCAUCAAAUAGCAAGUGAAACCAAAACAUCAGAGAGACUAGGGUACUUGGGAAUAUGUUAUAUGUCCCAAAAGUGAGCAAGGUAAUAAUAUAGUUUAUUAGAUCAACUUCUGUGGAGAUGAAAGAUUGGAAAUCCUAGUGGUAGAUAGUCACGGGACGAGCUUUGGAUUAUAAUGCUCACUGGUAAUUAUUUUACUGUUAUCUUUUCCCAUUGGUGUCCCCCAGUUUUUCUUUAUAGGCAGUGCACUAUUGUAUAUUAAUCUUUAAUGUGAUAUAUAUAUAUAUACUAUUUGAUUACUCGAUGUAUUAUAUCUUUAUUCCUUUUAUUUGUUGCCCCUUCAACCACCACAUGCCAAAAUAUAAAUGAGUCCUGCUGGACUUCAAA